Molecule: long non-coding RNA, 712 nt
Organism: Stomoxys calcitrans (stable fly)
Lineage: Eukaryota; Metazoa; Arthropoda; Insecta; Diptera; Muscidae
Exons: 2
Source: RefSeq, a predicted model, not a curated record
CACUGAUUUAACUGUGUGUAGCAGAAUGAACGUCCGAGUUCUUGAAAAAAAAAUACAACACUUCAGAAUUCAGUAUUUUGGAGAGUGCUUGCCUUUGUGAUCGUUUGGUGCGGUGUAAUAGAACUAUCGGCAAAGAAUUGAAUUUCAUCAGUGUUGAAUAUGGGGUAAAACAAACUAGAGUGCUAGGAAUUUGAUUUCGAGCGAACAUUGAAAUAGAAAAAUAACUUCUUCGCUCGCAAGAAACAAAGAUACGGUCUCGCAGGAAAUUAAGAUAUGGUUAACGUAUUAAGAUCCAUCAUGAAUGUGUUUAAUAAUAACAUCGGCAGUUGGCCAAAAGAGACCACAUAUAGUUUUACUCUAAGUAACUGGAUAAAAAUUGGUGACAUUUAUAGCUGUCCGAAGUCCACAUGUUUAUUUGUUUGUUCUAUUUGUGUGGAAGCAAGAGAAGGAAAGGCCGAUGAAAUUUUUUCAACAAUUAAUGUAUCCGAUUUUUUAGGCCACAUUAAUACAGAACAUCAACAAAUUCCCCAGCAUCUGCAGAACAAUGAGUCAAGCUUUAUGUGAAUGCCCAUCUAGUGACCCUGCUUUAAAUGUAAUAGCGAAUGUGGAUGAUGAUGAUGAAGAAUGUACAUAUAUCCUAUGGAAAAAUAAUGCCAUCAAAUGGAAAUGUAAUAGUUUCUACUCAAUAAAUUCAUUUCUUACAUUUUUGAAA